RNAcentral lists this ribosomal RNA (448 nucleotides) under uncultured bacterium. Its description in RNAcentral is "SSU rRNA". It matches the Rfam family "Bacterial small subunit ribosomal RNA", at positions 26 to 518 of the family's 1533-position model. The record is from RNAcentral.
AGAGCGAACGCUGGCGGCAGGCCUAACACAUGCAAGUCGAGCGCGUGUAGCAAUACACGAGCGGCAGACGGGAGAGUAACACGUGGGAACGCGCCCUUUGGUUCGGAAUAACUCAAGGAAACUUGAGCUAAUACCGGAUAAGCCCUUACGGGGGAAAGAUUUAUCGCCAAAGGAACGGCCCGCGUCCGAUUAGCUAGUUGGUGAGGUAACGGCUCACCAAGGCGACGAUCGGUAGCUGGUCUGAGAGGAUGACCAGCCUCACUGGGACUGAGACACGGCCCAGACUCCUACGGGAGGCAGCAGUGGGGAAUAUUGGACAAUGGGCGCAAGCCUGAUCCAGCCAUGCCGCGUGGAUGAUGAAGGCCUUAGGGUUGUAAAGUCCUUUUAACGGGGAAGAUAAUGACGGUACCGUAGAAUAAGCCCCGGCUAACUUCGUGCCAGCAGCCGC